GCGGCAAACGGGUGAGUAAUAUCUGGGAAUCUACCCAAAAGAGGGGGAUAACUACUAGAAAUGGUAGCUAAUACCGCAUAAAGUUGAAAAACCAAAGUGGGGGACCUUAAAAGGCCUCAUGCUUUUGGAUGAGCCCAGAGGAGAUUAGCUUGUUGGUAAGGUAAAAGCUUACCAAGGCAACGAUCUCUAGCUGGUCUGAGAGGAUAGCCAGCCACACUGGAACUGAGACACGGUCCAGACUCCUACGGGAGGCAGCAGUGGGGAAUAUUGCACAAUGGGCGAAAGCCUGAUGCAGCUAUGCCGCGUGUAUGAAGAAGGCCUUAGGGUUGUAAAGUACUUUCAGCGGGGAGGAAAAAAAUAAAACUAAUAAUUUUAU
This 376-nucleotide ribosomal RNA is filed under the name Aphis gossypii (cotton aphid). RNAcentral describes it as "bacterial SSU rRNA". It matches the Rfam family "Bacterial small subunit ribosomal RNA", at positions 95 to 471 of the family's 1533-position model. The record is from RNAcentral. Lineage: Eukaryota; Metazoa; Arthropoda; Insecta; Hemiptera; Aphididae.